Molecule: long non-coding RNA, 261 nt
Filed under: Ananas comosus (pineapple)
Lineage: Eukaryota; Viridiplantae; Streptophyta; Magnoliopsida; Poales; Bromeliaceae
Description: long non-coding RNA (ACOM_LNC002773)
Source: RNAcentral
AUUUAUUCAUCUUGCAGCGUACAUAUAUACGAAAAUGAACAAAAUAUUACUCUAGCUGUACAUACAGAGAGACUUAUAUUGUUAAGAGAGAAAGGUAGCAUAUUAUUCGCUUCAUUUAUUUUUUUAAAAAUAAACUUAGCUGGAAAUGUGAAUCAGUUAGGAUUCGAACUUGGGUUCUCGGGUACCAACCAUCAAACUCUUUGCUACUUGCAUUAGGGACAAUCGGUGCAAAUAUGCUAUUAUUACUAUUAUUGUUAUUAU